AUGAACGCUGGCGGCGUGCCUAAUACAUGCAAGUCGAGCGAACAGACGAGGAGCUUGCUCCUCUGACGUUAGCGGCGGACGGGUGAGUAACACGUGGAUAACCUACCUAUAAGACUGGGAUAACUUCGGGAAACCGGAGCUAAUACCGGAUAAUAUCUUGAACCGCAUGGUUCAAUAGUGAAAGACGGUUUUGCUGUCACUUAUAGAUGGAUCCGCGCCGCAUUAGCUAGUUGGUAAGGUAACGGCUUACCAAGGCAACGAUGCGUAGCCGACCUGAGAGGGUGAUAGGCCACACUGGAACUGAGACACGGUCCAGACUCCUACGGGAGGCAGCAGUAGGGAAUCUUCCGCAAUGGGCGAAAGCCUGACGGAGCAACGCCGCGUGAGUGAUGAAGGUCUUCGGAUCGUAAAACUCUGUUAUUAGGGAAGAACAAAUGUGUAAGUAACUAUGCACGUCUUGACGGUACCUAAUCAGAAAGCCACGGCUAACUACGUG
RNAcentral lists this ribosomal RNA (496 nucleotides) under uncultured bacterium. Its description in RNAcentral is "partial 16S ribosomal RNA". It matches the Rfam family "Bacterial small subunit ribosomal RNA", at positions 29 to 507 of the family's 1533-position model. The record is from RNAcentral.